Molecule: transfer RNA, 85 nt
Filed under: Caldisericia bacterium
Lineage: Bacteria; Pseudomonadati; Caldisericota; Caldisericia
Description: tRNA-Leu
Rfam family: tRNA
About the family: Transfer RNA (tRNA) molecules are approximately 80 nucleotides in length. Their secondary structure includes four short double-helical elements and three loops (D, anti-codon, and T loops). Further hydrogen bonds mediate the characteristic L-shaped molecular structure. tRNAs have two regions of fundamental functional importance: the anti-codon, which is responsible for specific mRNA codon recognition, and the 3' end, to which the tRNAs corresponding amino acid is attached (by aminoacyl-tRNA synthetases). tRNAs cope with the degeneracy of the genetic code in two manners: having more than one tRNA (with a specific anti-codon) for a particular amino acid; and 'wobble' base-pairing, i.e. permitting non-standard base-pairing at the 3rd anti-codon position.
Source: RNAcentral
GCCGAGGUGGCGGAAUUGGCAGACGCGUGCGUUUAAGGGGCGUAUGUGGAGACACGUGCGGGUUCAAGUCCCGCCCUCGGCACCA